GAAUAAGAAGCGAACAAUUGCAAUCAGUUUCGACCUGAAAAUUUGGUAAUAUUUUACCCUUAUUCU
Molecule: transfer RNA, 66 nt
Filed under: Stenocatantops splendens
Lineage: Eukaryota; Metazoa; Arthropoda; Insecta; Orthoptera; Acrididae
Also listed under: 1 other name
Description: tRNA-Arg
Source: RNAcentral